GGACUACUGGGGUAUCUAAUCCCGUUCGCUCCCCUGGCUUUCGUUCCUCAGCGUCAGAAAACCCCCAGUGAGCCGCCUUCGCCUCCGGUAUUCCUGAUGAUAUCAACGCAUUUCACCGCUCCACCAUCAGUUCUGCUCACCUCUAGGUUCCUCAAGCACGGUAGUUUAGAGCGCAAUUCCUCGGUUGAGCCGAGGGCUUUCACACCCUACUUUUCAUGCCGCCUACGAACUCUUUAAGCCCAGUAAUUCCGAAUAACGUUUGGGCCUCUCGUAUUACCGCGGCUGCUGGCAC
This 292-nucleotide ribosomal RNA is filed under the name uncultured Planctomycetota bacterium. RNAcentral describes it as "uncultured planctomycete partial 16S ribosomal RNA". Lineage: Bacteria; Pseudomonadati; Planctomycetota. The record is from RNAcentral.